RNAcentral lists this ribosomal RNA (589 nucleotides) under soil fungal sp. DM238. Its description in RNAcentral is "eukaryotic LSU rRNA". It matches the Rfam family "Eukaryotic large subunit ribosomal RNA", at positions 104 to 655 of the family's 3401-position model. Lineage: Eukaryota; Fungi. The record is from RNAcentral.
AGCUCAAAGUUGGAACCUGUUUGGCUUAGCUAAACCGGAUUGUAAACUGUAGAAGUGUUUUCCAGACACGCCUGGUAAAAAAGUCCUUUGGAACAGGGCAUCAUAGAGGGUGAGAAUCCCGUCAUUGGCCAGAGCUGUUGUCUUUUGUGAUACAUUUUCAAAGAGUCAGGUUGUUUGGGAAUGCAGCCUAAAUUGGGUGGUAAAUCUCACCUAAAGCUAAAUAUUUGCGAGAGACCGAUAGCGAACAAGUACCGUGAGGGAAAGAUGAAAAGAACUUUGAAAAGAGAGUUAAACAGUAUGUGAAAUUGUUAAAAGGGAACCGUUUGGAGCCAGACUGGCUUAAUCGUAAUCACUCUAGGCUUUGGCCUGGAUGCACUUGCGGUUUAUGCCGGCCAACGACAGUUUUNUUUGAGGGAAAAAAUUACAUUGAAUGUGGCCCCUCGGGGUGUUAUAGCUUUGUAAAAAAUACCUUGAACGGGACUGAGGAACGCAGCGAAUGCCUUUAGGCGAGAUUGCUGGGUGCUUGCGCUGAUACAUGCUANAAUUUCUGCUUCGGGUGGUGCUAGUGUGUAAAGGAGUAACCCGCCUA